Long non-coding RNA from Solanum stenotomum, 1003 nucleotides. RefSeq lists it as uncharacterized. The transcript has 4 exons. The record is from RefSeq and is a predicted model, not a curated record. NCBI's taxonomy places the organism in Eukaryota, Viridiplantae, Streptophyta, Magnoliopsida, Solanales, Solanaceae.
UGUGUGGUUUCGGGACACUUCUUUCUUGUGAGGGCAUGCAAGUUGAAAUAUUAAUGAUUUUUAAAAUUCUUAAUUGAGUCAAGUGAGCUAAUGAGUUGAGUCAUUUCUUGAGUUUGAGUUGUUGUCACUUAAAUGAUUCUUGAUUUUUUAUAAUGUUUCAUGUGAAUGAGAGGAUUUCUUUUGUGGAAAGUUUUCAUGUGGACUAUUUGUUCUUACCAACCGAAGCCAUUACCUUUGUGCUUAAUUGAGAAAUGGAAAUUGAUUUGUGGUGUAUCUUGAAAUAGGAAUCUCUUAUGUUUUUUGACUUUCUUGACUUGAUGAAAAACAAACUUUCUAAGUUGGGGUGUUGAUUUGUGGUAGAUUUCUACUCAUUUGAGUCUUUUUUUCGUAGUUAUUUUGGCUUUUAGUUUAUAAUUGUUGCUUUUUGAUGUGAUUUUGCACGAAAAUGAAAUGGAGAGUUCGUACAAAAUGUUGAACAUGCAAGGUUAGCACCAUUUGAUUGUUGGCUUUGUUUUAGAGGAACCAAAACAAUGGAAGAAAAUGCUUCUACCGUCUUCAAUGUUUCACGUGCCGGAGUUUGUGGAUGCUAUUUGGGUUGCUCUGUGUAUCCAAUGUUGGCUGUUCGGGAGAAGGUUGUUUAGACAUUGCGUGCCUGCCUUCUUGUUAUUGAAAAGCGUCAGGCACGACGGCGUGUUCAGUGGUAUUAUCAAAUGUUUGAGGCUACCCAAGAUGGAUCGCGGAGAAUCACUCCUGUUCAUAGUAUAAUUGGAUCUCUUCUCGCAGUCGGGGAGCCGCUAAGGAAGUAAAAAGGAGAUUGAAAUAGAAAGAAUGCAGAAUGCUGCACUUUACUUUUGGGCACAUUUAUUUUUAUUUGGAUUUGUGUGGAAGAAGAUCAGCAGAUAUACUCCUAAGUCUUUUUUCUGUUUCAGCCUUAGAAGGAUGGGUCUGCAUUGGCUUUGAGGCAUCUUGUAGAGGUAGAAGCUCGGGAUCUUAGUGGAGAAGG